This is a non-coding RNA of Pelobates cultripes (western spadefoot toad), 232 nucleotides long. The record is from the annotation of a GenBank genome assembly. Lineage: Eukaryota; Metazoa; Chordata; Amphibia; Anura; Pelobatidae.
AUUUUAACUCUAUUAGUUCCUGUUGGCAGUUGGUGGAAUGUUCGAGGGAUUUGAAAGUUCUUCUCUGCCCUUGCUGUAAAGUGAGUGAACCACACUCCAACCUUUCCACAGUUACUCCAGCCACUCCGACCACACAGCAGUUACUCAAGCCACUCCACCCAGUUACUCCGCCCACUCCAGUUGCAGACACUUCACACAAUUUCCCCAGAAAUUUUUGCUUUUCUAGUUUACG